Mytilus trossulus (common blue mussel) is the source of this 265-nucleotide long non-coding RNA. RefSeq lists it as uncharacterized. The transcript has 3 exons. The record is from RefSeq and is a predicted model, not a curated record. NCBI's taxonomy places the organism in Eukaryota, Metazoa, Mollusca, Bivalvia, Mytilida, Mytilidae.
AGUCCUCAAUAUGUUACAAACGAAAUUGAGACUCUUCAAUUGACGAAAAGAAACUUAAAUGUAACUUUGGUUCCUAAUAUUGGUAUAUCACCAUCAAAAGACGGGAUUGCACACGGAAGAGCAAAAACACCAGAUUCAACCGAGAAUGCAUCUUCAAAUGCAUAUAUUACAGUUGUUGUAGUGUUGUCAGUAUUGGUCGUAGUCUGUAUAGCAGUAGUCAUUUCUCUUGUAUUGUUACGAAAGCGCAAGCGUUAUACAAAUCAAG